UUUACAUUUAAGGACACCGAUAUGAGCAUGUAUAUAAUGUUCUAUGAAGAAAAGAUUUAGACUUGAAACGUCACAAGAAGAAGUUUAGAAAGAAAAGAUUGUUGGGGAGUAUCCAUUAUUCUGAGAAGGGGGUCUUCGUUCAGGUCGAGGGUCCUGACCAAGGUGUUGACUUCCUGAAUCUACUUGUGCCAAAGUAGGGAGCACACGAGCCGAGGGUCUCGUUGCUGAGAAUUUACUUAGCC
RNAcentral lists this long non-coding RNA (242 nucleotides) under Nicotiana benthamiana. Its description in RNAcentral is "long non-coding RNA (NBEN_LNC002155)". Lineage: Eukaryota; Viridiplantae; Streptophyta; Magnoliopsida; Solanales; Solanaceae. The record is from RNAcentral.